GGGCGGGUGGCGGAACGGCAGACGCGCACGGUUCAGGUCCGUGUGUCCGAAAGGACGUGAGGGUUCAAAUCCCUCCUCGCCCACCU
RNAcentral lists this transfer RNA (86 nucleotides) under Nonomuraea sp. MG754425. Its description in RNAcentral is "tRNA-Leu". It matches the Rfam family "tRNA". From Rfam's summary of the family: Transfer RNA (tRNA) molecules are approximately 80 nucleotides in length. Their secondary structure includes four short double-helical elements and three loops (D, anti-codon, and T loops). Lineage: Bacteria; Bacillati; Actinomycetota; Actinomycetes; Streptosporangiales; Streptosporangiaceae. The record is from RNAcentral. RNAcentral also lists the same sequence under 1 other name.